RNAcentral lists this transfer RNA (72 nucleotides) under Draconibacterium sediminis. Its description in RNAcentral is "tRNA-OTHER". The record is from RNAcentral. Lineage: Bacteria; Pseudomonadati; Bacteroidota; Bacteroidia; Marinilabiliales; Prolixibacteraceae.
AAAUACUCAGUUGGUUCAGAGCAUCCCGAUGUUUUAUCGGGAGGGUCACUGGUUCGAAUCCAGUAGUUCCCA